AUAGGUUGCACUUUGUAAAUGCAGCUGUUUCUCAAACACGCCUCUUUUGGGGAGAUCUUGAAUAUUCAUAGAAAAGUAAUUUUAUUUACAUACUGGUUCCCUGUUAUGCUCUCUGUGUUCCAUCUCACAGAGACAUAACUUGGGAAUGUUACCAGUAAAUAUACAUGUGCAUAUAGUUUAAAUUGAAAUCUGUGGUAACCUUUCAUUCGAGGUAGG
Molecule: long non-coding RNA, 216 nt
Filed under: Mytilus galloprovincialis (Mediterranean mussel)
Lineage: Eukaryota; Metazoa; Mollusca; Bivalvia; Mytilida; Mytilidae
Source: RNAcentral